This 493-nucleotide ribosomal RNA is filed under the name uncultured bacterium. RNAcentral describes it as "partial 16S ribosomal RNA". It matches the Rfam family "Bacterial small subunit ribosomal RNA", at positions 29 to 523 of the family's 1533-position model. The record is from RNAcentral.
AUUGAACGCUGGCGGCAUGCUUUACACAUGCAAGUCGAACGGUAACAGGUUAAGCUGACGAGUGGCGAACGGGUGAGUAAUGCAUCGGAACGUGCCCGAUCGUGGGGGAUAACGCAGCGAAAGCUGCGCUAAUACCGCAUACGAUCUGAGGAUGAAAGCGGGGGACCGUAAGGCCUCGCGCGAUCGGAGCGGCCGAUGUCAGAUUAGGUAGUUGGUGGGGUAAAGGCUCACCAAGCCGACGAUCUGUAGCUGGUCUGAGAGGACGACCAGCCACACUGGGACUGAGACACGGCCGAGACUCCUACGGGAGGCAGCAGUGGGGAAUUUUGGACAAUGGGCGCAAGCCUGAUCCAGCAAUGCCGCGUGCAGGAAGAAGGCCUUCGGGUUGUGAACUGCUUUUGUACGGAGCGAAAAGGCUCUCUCUAAUACAGGGGGCUCAUGACGGUACCGUAAGAAUAAGCACCGGCUAACUACGUGCCAGCAGCCGCCGUAA